This 440-nucleotide ribosomal RNA is filed under the name uncultured bacterium. RNAcentral describes it as "partial 16S ribosomal RNA". It matches the Rfam family "Bacterial small subunit ribosomal RNA", at positions 338 to 795 of the family's 1533-position model. The record is from RNAcentral.
CCUACGGGAGGCAGCAGUGGGGGAUAUUGCACAAUGGGGGAAACCCUGAUGCAGCGACGCCGCGUGUGGGAAGACGGUCUUCUGGAUUGUAAACCACUGUCCCCAGGGACGAAAAUGACGGUACCUGGGGAGGAAGCUCCGGCUAACUACGUGCCAGCAGCCGCGGUAAUACGUAGGGAGCAAGCGUUGUCCGGAAUUACUGGGUGAAAAGGGAGCGUAGGCGGGGAUGCAAGUUGGGUGUCAAAACUACCGGCUCAACCGAUAGUCGCACUCAAAACUGCAGCUCUUGAGUGAAGUAGAGGCAGGCGGAAUUCCUAGUGUAGCGGUGAAAUGCGUAGAUAUUAGGAGGAACACCAGUGGCGAAGGCGGCCUGCUGGGCUUUUACUGACGCUGAGGCUCGAAAGUGUGGGGAGCAAACAGGAUUAGAUACCCUAGUAGUC